RNAcentral lists this unclassified non-coding RNA (225 nucleotides) under Hevea brasiliensis (rubber tree). The record is from RNAcentral. Lineage: Eukaryota; Viridiplantae; Streptophyta; Magnoliopsida; Malpighiales; Euphorbiaceae.
AAUUGGACUUUUACUUAAUAAUCCCAGUGCGGGGGCCAGCGAUAUCAACUCAAAGCUGUGCUCACCUCUCUUAUCCAUAUAUAAGGCUCAGGUCCCAAUGAGUCAAACUCUAGCCAUAACUACCCAUCCUACCUAUAUCCAUAUCCACACCAUAUUUAUGCUAACACACACAGCUCCAAGUUAUUUUAAAGUGACAUUUACAAACAAAUUCAAUAACAUAUGUAG